UAUUCAUUAUUUUGAAAGAUACGUUGAAAUUUUCUUGUAAUCUUUAUUUUAUUUUCAUUGUUUUCGUAUAUAACCUUAAAUCACAAAACUAAAAAAUAAAAAUGGAAUAAAUAACAUUGAAUGAAAACGAAAUAUAGUGUUGAUAAUAAAAAUAUUGAAUAUAUGAAUCAAAAUGAAAUAAGUAAAUGCAAAAAGUUAGAUCGAAAUAUAAAAAAAGAUAGUCAAGUUAUGGAAGUAGUGGGGGUAGAUGCAGCGAGACAAGGGCUGACGCGCGGUAAUUGAGAAUCGUUAACGCGUCCUCGAGAGAGAUUGAGCGACUGGAUUUUGCUAGGUCCUCUUUUACUCUCCGCAGCCGUUACCAUCAGCUUGUCUCCCUCUUUUCGUCUCGGCUUCCUAGCCACUAUGCUGAUGACCUUCAACCGUUCAAGAGGGGAUGGACCUCGUUGGCUAGCGGGCCGAGGUAUAAGGUCAAGGUUGCUGUAGUCGGUGUGCACGGGAUAUGCGACCUCCAAAUGCAUCGAGCGAGAUGCGUGCGCAAUUGACGCAUGCGCACCAUGAGCCGGCUUGUCGUGCGUCGCAGCGUGUCGCGCAAGUCAUUGCCAAGGUCUUCUCUGGUCACGGGCAAACCGUUAUAAGUAGCGAUGGGCACGAACUGAAAUGUAAUUUUUAGACUGUAUUAUUAAAGAUCUAUGUAUAUCAUUAGAUGCUUUUAGGAUGUUAUUAAUUUAAAUAUUGACGAUUUUAAAAAAUUAUGAAUCUGCAUUGAAUAAUUUACAUCCUACAUGAUGUUGAAAUCUUCUAUGAAUGAAAUUAUUAAAAGAACAUAGAAGAAAGGGAAUACGUGAUAAUAGGAAGAAUAUUUGAAAAAUUAACGUUAACCGUUGAGAGUGGCCAUCUUGAAAUUUGUAUUGCAUUUGUAUUUCUUUAACACGUUAUAUAUUCAAUUUGUUUCGAUUUGAUAUUAGAUUAUGAGAAUUUCGGUUCCAUCGCUAGUCAUAAGUUGCCGGUUGAGACUGAUGCAAGGUCGUCGACGAUUGUUUCAGGAAAAAGAAAAACUAAUUGUAAAUAUCAUUUUGUAUUAAGA
Molecule: long non-coding RNA, 1084 nt
Filed under: Apis mellifera (honey bee)
Lineage: Eukaryota; Metazoa; Arthropoda; Insecta; Hymenoptera; Apidae
Description: uncharacterized LOC107965218, transcript variant X2
Source: RNAcentral